AGAAUCAACGCUGGCGGCGUGCCUAACACAUGCAAGUCGAACGAGAAAGUGGUAGCAAUCCAUGAGUAAAGUGGUGCACGGGUGAGUAACACGUGACUAACCUACCCUUGAGUGGGGGAUAACCUAGAGAAAUCUGGGCUAAUACCGCAUAAUACCUACGGGCCAAAGGAGCAAUUCGCUUUAGGAGGGGGUCGCGGCCGAUUAGUUAGUUGGCGGGGUAAUGGCCCACCAAGACUGUGAUCGGUA
Molecule: ribosomal RNA, 246 nt
Filed under: uncultured bacterium
Lineage: Bacteria
Description: partial small subunit ribosomal RNA
Rfam family: Bacterial small subunit ribosomal RNA
Source: RNAcentral